Molecule: ribosomal RNA, 253 nt
Filed under: uncultured bacterium
Lineage: Bacteria
Description: partial 16S ribosomal RNA
Rfam family: Bacterial small subunit ribosomal RNA
Source: RNAcentral
UACGUAGGGCGCAAGCGUUGUCCGGAAUUAUUGGGCGUAAAGAGCUCGUAGGCGGCCUGUCGCGUCCGCUGUGAAAUCCCGGGGCUUAACCCCGGGCGUGCAGUGGAUACGGGCUGGCUAGAGGCAGGCAGGGGAGAACGGAAUUCCUGGUGUAGCGGUGAAAUGCGUAGAGAUCCGGAAGAACACCGGUGGCGAAGGCGGCCUGCUGGGCAGUUGCUGACACUGAGGCGCGACAGCGUGGGGAGCAAACAGG